Non-coding RNA from Rattus norvegicus (Norway rat), 17266 nucleotides. Lineage: Eukaryota; Metazoa; Chordata; Mammalia; Rodentia; Muridae. The record is from RefSeq and is a predicted model, not a curated record.
UUGUAAUUUUUUCUUUUCUUUUGUCUUUUGCCUACUUUUAACACUUCUAGUUUUCUAUGCACGGCGGAUCUUUGCCAAUAUUUGUGUGUGUGUGUGUGUGUGUGUGUGUGUGUGUAGAGAGAGAGAGAGAGAGAGAGAGAGAGAGAGAGAGAGAGAGAGUAUAUGCAUGAUUCUGUGUGUAUGUGUGUAGAAUUACCUCUGUACAUGAGCCUGUGGUCAACUGCAGGUGUCUUCCUCACUCCUGCUUCACCUUUCUCUUGACAGAGUCUCUCAUUGAAUCUUACUGAUUACCUAGACCACCAGGGCAGCGAGCUCCUGGGGCCUUUGAUCUUUAACCCUUGAGGACUGGGGCUAGAGGCACAUACUGCCCCAUUGGAUCUUUAGUGUGCAUGCUGGGGAACUAAGGAGUUGAACUUGGGUCUUCAUGCUUACACGGGAAGCACUUGACCUUCUCUAGCCUCAUGCCAACUUUGAAUUUUUAAUUCAUGUGUGUAAUUUUAAAAAUCAGUCUAUACACAUAUUUUGUUUCUUGACAAAAUUCGAGAGCCUUGAUAUUUUAAUAAAGACUUUAAAUCUAUUUGUGUUUAUUUCUAUAGCUGACAUCCUUUUUUUUGUGUGUGUUAUUUUGCUUUCUGCCCUCCCCACUUCCUUCUUGACUCUUUAUUUUGUUGCUGCUGCUCCCCCGUUUUCCUCAUAUAUGGACUAGAUUUUCUUCACAUUUUCCUACUUAGGGUUGUCGUACCUGCGUUUCUCUGAAAUUUUAAUUAACAUAUAUAAUCCUAUAUUUCCCUAAUCAUGCCAAGGAUAAAACAAUCUCUUGACCUUUUACUUCGUGAGAUGAUAUAAUUAGCAUGCAACAACUUUUUGAAAAUUAUGUAGAUCAUGAAAAAAUAAUUUUGUUUUAACAUGUUUACCAUACGACAGGCCUGGUACCUUUCCUUCAUUUUAGGAGCUAGUAACUAUUGGAGAAGUUAUGGAAAAUGUUACUACAGAAUCUUAAAUGUUCAGUGUCACCCACUCCAAGCAUUUCAUCACUGAAAGGAAACCACAGAGGUCUCAGUGACUUCGAAGGACUUAUUCUAGGUUCCUAACUUGAAGAGCAGUGUUACACUUCAAAGAUGGGUAUUCACAAAUGCAACUCUUGCUAUUCUAUGGUAGCAUGUAUUUUUCUAGAAGCCAUGGAGAUGGUGAGGAAGCUUGAAAUUAUUUGGGACUGGAGGACAAGUGAGCAGAAGAGAAAGGAUUUGAAGCCUACAGAAAGGAAGGUGGUAGCAUUUGGUUUAGAAAAGGGGGAAAAUAUAUAGCUACAGCUUCAACAGAAAUAUAAAGAAAAUGUGUAGGCUCUCCCUGCUUGCCUCCUGUGUCAUGUCAGGAGGGGUCUCGAGCUGGUGAGAUGUUCUGCUGUGAUAAUAAGUCUCAGAAGAGGUCUUAGUUUGAACAUCUUUGGGUGAUUUGGCUCCUCCUGUGCCGGGAUUUUCCUUCUGUUCGCUUUUAUUGAGUUUUAAUAAGAAACCAUCUGGUGGAAUAUUUUGGACUUAGGUUGAUAUUUAACAUGCAGAACAGGCUGGUUUCAAGAGUGACUAUUUAGCCACCAAAUAAAAUAAAAAAUAAAGGCGACAAUCAUAGCCCAAAUAACACCAUGCUUUAGUCUUUCCUGAUUGACAUAAAGAUUCUGGUCAAUUAUCUCCUAGUCGAGAAACAAAAUCUUUGGGGACCAUCAGCUCAGAAAAAUUCUGGCAUGAGGAAAUGGCUAGCUUCUCUCCUCGGUAUCAGAGAUUCCAGAACUUAACCCACCAGACCUAAAACACGCCCUAUGGGAGGCAGAGCAGAGUCAAACUGGAGCUUCCAUGAACAUGGAUUGCUCCUGGGCAAGGCGGCAAAGCACCUACUCAUUUAGGUGAGGCCCUGUUCAUCGCUAAAAUGUUUCUUUUAUUUUUUCUUUAAUUGUUUUUAUACCAGGUACAAUAACUACCUGCUAAAAUAUUGAGAUUACUGAAAGGAGGCAAGCUAGAAAGAAGGCAUGUUCGAGUCUUUUUUUUUUAAAGCUUUUCUUUGUCAGGGGACAAGUUGACAUCCAGAUAUUCUGAAGAAUUACAUUCUUCUUUUCCAUCUUUCUUCUCCUCCAUGUGUCUUUCAUGCCAAGGACUAUGGUCGCUGUCAGUGUCAUUCUGUGGGUAAUGUUAUUAGCUCCAUUUUGAAGACAAAACCUCAAACACACUUACUCGAGGUCAUAUACAAACUAUCUCUCCAAACUGGAAAAUAACCCAUGUACACUUACUUUUUCAUGUGCAUGGAACCACCAGCCCUAAACAUGGUGUAAAUAUCUGCUUAUACCUAUCCUCUGGGUGAUGUUGAUAUUUAGAUACGACUCAUUCUCUUCUGACUGGUGGCAUUCCUUUUAGCACGAUCCUGGGCGGAUUUGACCCUUGCAAACAGUUGUAACUCGUCUUCACACUGGUGGCUUGUGCUGGCUGGUGCUAUGUCAGCGGCACACAAGGCAGAAUUCCCUGAAAGGACGGAACCUAAAUCGAGAAAACUUCCUCCAUCAGCUCUGGCUGAAAGGUAUAUUUUCAUUAGUUAUGAUAGGGAGGGCCCAGCUCAUGGUGGGUGGUGCCAUCCCUGGGCUGGUGCUACUGGGUUCUGUAAGAAAGCAGGCUGAGCAAGCCAUGGGAAGCAAGCCAGUAAGCAGCACCUUCCAUGGCCUCUCCAACAGUGUUUACCUUCAGUUUCCUGCCCUGCUUGAGUUCCUGUUCCGACUUCUCCCAAUGAUGGACUAUGAUAAUGAACAUUUAAACCAGAUAAACUCUUUUCUUCCCAGCUUACUUUUGGUCAUGGUGUUUUGUCACUGUAAUAGAAACCUAGACUAAGACAGUAUUACUGUCAGUCCUUGGAACUGUUCUAAUACAUUUGCAUCUACACGUUCAAUUUCAUUAACUUUUUGGACUUAUGUCAUUCACUCAAUAUAGUGUAAGGCUGGCUACUGGGGCUCAGGGUUAAAGGUCACAUACUUCUCAUGUCAUGAAAUCUAUUGACUCUGCUUUAUUUGCAUGCAGGAUGAUUAAAUUUGAAUGGAAUACUGCUACUGGAUAGGUCUGUCCUACGAUUUUUAGGCUUUUAAUUCGAGUUCAAAAUAGAAACCACAGUUUGCGGUUAUGAAUUCAGUGGCAACAUGCUUGUCUGGAAGGUGCAACAGCCCAGGUUCAAUCCCCAGCACCAUAAACUGAACACUUGAUACCAUAAUAUCAGCUUCUCUCUCCACACACAUCAUUUAUAAAUAUUAUUUACAAGAUAUAUGUCACAUGACUAUAUGACAAUGAAGGUCAAAUGUCUUAUAUUAUGGCUUUGCCUCAUCAAAAUAUCGAUAUAUUUGUUCCAUUGCAUGGAGGCCUGGGUGCAACGUUGGGUCAUCAUAUGGUCUAAGAGCAUGGUGACAAUGCUGACCCUGUGGAGUGGUCCAAGGCUGAGGCUGUGAUUCCCAGCCUUGCUGCUCAUCUGGGAGAUCUAAGAAGUAUAUAUGGAUGCUCUCGCUUCAGUCUGGAAACGGAAUCAGAAUUGUAAAAAGUCCUUAGGAUCUGAGUUUUAAACAGCUCAUUACUCAGUUCAGUAUUUCUGGAUCUAUAGUCAGGAUAGCUGCUCACCUUGAUGAUUGUGUAUGUGGAUGUACACAUGUGUAUGUGUAUGUAUACAUGUGUAUGAGGAUGUACACAUGUGUAUGUGGAUGUACACAUGUGUAUGAGGAUGUGUAUAUGACACAUUAAACAGGAGCAUCUUAUAACGAGACAGAAUUCUCUGUACUCUCCUAGUAAAGUGCCCCAACUCUUACCCUACACUUAUUUUCUCUACAUUACACUAUCUUUGAUAUUUAUACCCUAUAUGUAGCAUACACAAAGAUAUAUGCUCCCUUACAAGAGCUAGAUUAUGUAUUGGUAAUAUCUUUCCUCUCUUGGGCAUUAGGACAUACACUAGAACUUGAGAAGCUGUGUGUUAACGUGUUGGACAGCAACAGUAGCUGAUGGACUGAGUGGAGUGGAGCUAGCAGAUGAGUGAUCAAUGAGUGAUCAAUCACACAGGCCUCAGAACAAAUCCCAGUUUCAUUGUGUGACUCUGGGCAAUCCCAUUCUCCAAUUUCCGGUUCUAUGAAAUAGGCAAAUACCUUCAUCUCCUGGUUGUUUGGUUAAAUAGUUUAUAGAUGGUAUCUUGCAGCUGGUAACUAGCCAGUGCUUAGAGUGCUUAGUCAGUGCCAUGGGUUAGUACCACAGUCACUCAGGGUGAGUCUUCCCUUUUUAGUUAAACUUUACUGGAAACAGCCUCAUAGACACAUCCAGAGAGGCGUCUCUUAGAUAAUUCUAAAUCCUGAUGAUGGAGACAAGCAAUCACAGGGUUUUGUUUGUUUUUAGUGCCCUCCUCAAAUUAAGUCCCUUCUUGUAGUAAGUGUUUACACAGACCUUCCAGAUCCUCUAACCAGUUUGAUCUUUCUAUCACACAGAAAUGUUCUUUCCUUUCAUGUUCCAGAGAAAAAGAUGGACCAAAAUCCAAACAGCAUUUGCCACCCACAUGUGGUCCACCUAGCAAAUGGCGUUCAGAGAAGGGGGAAAUCUAAGUUUUUAAGUUCUGGCUGUUCCACAGAAAGGAUCUGGUUCAAAGAGGCAUAGACAAUAGAAGAUGCUACAAGAAGUACCAGCAAGAAACAGUAGCUGCACCAUGAAAGAACGGAACUAGAGACCCUGCAUGACUUAUGUCGAUGACAAUAUUCAUGACUCCAAGUAAGGGUGAAGAAACACUAGAUCGAACGGGAAAACUACCUAGUAAAGAAGCGGCAAUGCAGGUUGGAAGGCGUUGUGUCUGAAUGUGUCUGUACACCGUGGGGAUGCAUUGCCCACAGAGGGCAGAGGGCACACCAGAUCAUCUGGGGAUUUUAAAUGAACCAGGAGUGGACAGUUGCUCGAAUGAAGACAGUGAGAAGAACAAGUCAUGGUGCUGGAGCUGGAGCUGGAAGGAUCUACUUUAGACACGUCAGGCACCGGGUGUGUCUUAGGUGUCAGUCCGUGCCAUGAUCUAUGGGCAUGGGUGUCAGUGGAGGAGCUGAGCUACAGGCACACAUUUAUUCUAUCCAAGAUAUCAGAUUAAGUUUUCAAUGGUGUAGAAAAAUAGAAGAGAGACAAGGUCCAGAGCCCGAGCCUCAGGCGUAAGUGCCAAGAUGAGAGGAAACAUUGGGAAAGCAAAGAGUAAAGACCCGAACAUUGAGAAGAAAGCCGGUUAAGCAAAUCUAGGAAUCCCAGCAGACAGAACGGUUUCAAGGAGUAGAGUGGUCUGGCCCAAAUCUUCUUGUUAACUGAAUAAGAGGAGGCCAGGGAUGACCACGAGCCUAGUAAAGAAGAAUCUUUGUCACCUUGAUAAAAUGUCACCUGCCGAGGAGUGCAGAUGCAGCCUGACGGGGUUAAGGUCAAGAAAGAAUGGGAAGACAGCAAUUGGGGACGGAAGGCCAGUCGCUUUUUCAGAGAGUUUUCCUUAAUGAUGGAAGAAGUCAUAAGCCCAUGACUAAUAGAUGUAUGUGGAAGUUUGGGAAGGCAAAGGAGUUAUAGAUUGGUUUGGGGAGUGAUGAGGAGGGCUAAGAAAUUAGACGAAUAUUGCCGGAUUGACUGGGGGUGUGAAGAAAAUUCCAUGAGAGGGGCGCUGGUUUCCUGGCGCUACUCAUGCUGGUCCUUAGCAAACAAACCAGUAUUCCCGGAGGAGAAGGCUAUUUCCUGCUGAGAAAACAGGAGGAAGGGAAUAAGGGUGCUAAACUUUUGCUGAUAGAACCUAAGUUAGCCUUCUAGACCACCCCACGGAAUUCCCAGGCAUCUCCUUCCUACUUCUUCCUCUUGUCCUUGAUUCUUUUCCUUACCGGUGUUGACGCGGGUACCUAUGCUGGUGGCGAGUGGGUUUCAGGGAGCAGAUGGGUUUUCUGCACCUCUCUCCAACAGCAUUCCCCACUUUACUCUCUAAUGAGAAAUGAGCACGUUUUCAGUGGCUUACGGUCCGCUGGAUCCUUCCCUGCUAUGUGUCGCUGGAGGUCAAUUGAACGUGCCUCGGUAUAUUUUCCUUCUGGGUCUGAGUCUGAAGGAAGACUCCACAUGUGCAUCAUGCUAUUCUCUGGGCGGAAGGAAAAGAGCAAUGGCGGAGUCACAUGAUGCCCACCGAGCUUCUCUCUGGAAGUGGUAAUUGUCACUUUUGCUUACAUUUUACUACAGAAGCCAAGUCCAGGGCUAAGAUGAUGUCAAUGGGAUAAGAAAGUACAUGCUUCUUUUUCAGAAGGAAAACAAAUAAUUUGGAACAAUCAUAUAAUUAGCUACAAAUUUUUCCAGGUGUAGCUGGAAAAAAAAAUCCUCCUCAAACAAUACAAUGGGGCAAAUUACCUCUUCUCAACCAUGAUUGACAUCUAGCCCUCGGGGGUAACCUCAAGGAGAUUAGACACUUCGGAUGAAUUUCUGGGUAUAAUUUUACGUCUGGGCCCGAGGGUUAUUUAGCUUUAGAAUUUAGAAAAUACCCUACCUUCAGGGAGUUGAAGCAUUUCAUCUCAGAUGUUCUGGGCAUUAUAAUUGUAAAAAGGAAGCACGCCCAAUUUUAUAAGAUACAUAAUAUAAGCAGGGAGAGCAAGUCCCAUCUAGACCUGUCAUUGGGGAUGCUCUUACAGUCUGCAUUCUCAAGACCUACUUAAAAAUAAUACGAAAUAAGAAGCAAUAGGAGGAAGGAUCUGCGUUUUCAACUCAGUAAGAGAAAAAAAAAAUCCAAAUUUGGUAAAGAAUUCUUUAUUCUUUACCUACCAGGGGGGUUUUCAUAGCUUAACAAAAAAGCUUGGGUAGUUUUCUUCACGAUGCUAUGCCGCCAAGCUUCUGGCUUCAUGACUUCCGGUGCCCCGCAGGAAGCAAUGGUGUGAACGUGAACGCCUAGUCACGGUCUCACGUCAGUGAGAAAGAAGACUGAGAGCGAAGCCCCCUAUGUCCUAGCUGAUGCGGCCCUUAUCUGCCGGCUUCAUCUUUUUUCUUUUUUUCUUCUUCUUUUCUUUCUUUCUUUUUUUUUUUUUUUGAGCUGGGAACCGAACCCAGGGCCUUAUGCUUGCUAGGCAAGCGCUCUACCACUGAGCUAAACCCCCAACCCCCAAUCUGCUCGCUUCAAUGCCUCCGUGUUUCCUUCCAUUAACAUAGGAUCAUACACAGUCUUUAUCUUAAUGAGUCUUUUCCUCUUUGUUUACGAAUAUAUGAUUGUGACCAUGGACAAAGGACAUGCCAGGAACUUAGCCAGAGCCCAAACUGUAUCGCUGUAGGGUUUUCUCCUCAUAGAUUUGUCCAAUGACCCAGCUCGGGAGAAAACAGUCAGGUGAUGCGUUCCCAGUGGUAGCUCACUUCCCACCAGCGCACCACUGGUGCCCUCAUUAGGGUGAUUUUCUUCCUCCCAGAAGCUUUUUUUCAGUUCACCUCAGCCUCCCACCACAGUGAAUUUAUUGUCUGUGAAGGGGACUGGGUAGCUGUCCCCUGAGACAGUAUUUGGUUUAUUUUUAGUGCAGGCAGUUUGGAAAAAUGACUUUCUCUGUGUACAAGCACUCCUUUCAUUCUGACUCAGAGUCGGACACUUCUCACCCUGUAAGCAGAUCUUCCCUGCCUUCAUUUUGAAGAUAGAAGCAGCGUUAUAUCACAAGGAAAAAGUUACCAGGAGGUGUCAUUCGAAAAGUGUUUUCCUUGGGUUUGCCGGCCUUGGAUCUGUAGAGAUGUUUAGUUGUGUAAAAUUGCAAGUUAGUCUGACUAAAUUGGGCAGCUUGCUAGUAAGCAUUCCACUCCCUCGGUCCCAAUUGAUCCCCUGAGCCAUCCGUACUCCCUAAAAGUGUUAUUAUUACUAUGAGGCUACAUGCUCAAAAAUUAUUUCCCUUGGGAACGCACACCUAACCCAGACAAAAAGAUUACUUUUUUGUAUUUGUUGUUUUACUUUUCCAAUACCCGGUGUCCCAGAUCUCUUGUUUAUCUCUGUCUUCUUACCUUAGGUCUUACCCUGAUGUUCCAGUUCCCUGUCCACGGCUAGGGUGAACCGUAUGAAAUUGCCAAUAUUCCAGAGAUUUUUUUUUCUGACCUACCAAGGCAGUGAUGAUUUCAUACAGUUGAGGAUAACGCAGUUAGAACGAAGUGGUAAAUUGGGAAAAUUCUCAUGCGAAAAAAAAAUGCAAAUUUAUUGACCAAAUCAACUACAACUUGAUAACACGGAAGAGCGUAGAGCGUGUAUCCAAGCUUCAACACGGUUCUUUGAAACAGGGAGGAUAAUUAGCAUAUUAAAUGAGAAGUUAAUAUUUUGGAAUACUGCAACAGAAUUUCCACUUCUAAUAUGAAAAAAAAAAGUUUAACUGAGAUGCGCACAUGGAUGUUAAUGUGCCAAGAUUCUCUGUGUGCAGUGGCCGUGACCACCACUUGGCUGGUGCAACGUGUUCAGAUCUCUAGAAAAACUCACUCCCUCUCUCUCUUCUCUCCCUCUCUCCACCCCCUUCCUCCCUGCUUCCCCCUCUUUUCAUGAUUAGACUUACGAAGAAGUCCCACUGACCUACUCUCAUUUUGUCUACAUUCUCUCUUAUUCAUCGUGUCUGCUGUGGUCUGGUUUCCAUCCCCAACACAUGUGUAUAUACACACAUGUAUAUAUAUGUAUGUAUGCAUUCAUAUAUGUAUGUCUUUUAACCAAGGCCACUAAUGACUUUGAAUAAUUCAAAGGAAGCCUCUUUUGGCCUUUAUCUUUACUUAGCUUCCUUGCCAGGUUCGAUAGGACGACCUGUGUCCUGCUUCUAAGUAUUUCAUCUCCUUCCCCUGACUUUGCAUGCUCUGUUUCUUGUGGUUUAUGGAUACGCCCCCAAUCCAGGUUAGCCUCAGUUAGACACAAAACAAGACCGGGCUUUGGUUACUGUGUAUCUCAGAGCCCAGGUUAGAACCGAUGCCCAAAGGUCCUUGUCUCUAUUUGUGGAUUAAAUGAAAGGUGGAACUGGAGAGUUCACAGCGCUGUGCUAAUCCUUAGUCCUUGCUGAUACUUUGUUUCCUUGUGCUUCAGUCCCUGCUUCCAGAAGUUCUAUACGGAUUACAGGAGUACACCAAUCCCAUCUUUAUUAAGGUCUAGCAGUGAAACAGCUACAUCCUUCAUGCUUCCAGCUCUGAUGCUGCCCCAGUGGUUUCUCCUCACAUGGCUUCCUGGAGCUCUGAGCAGGCAUGCUACACCAUGCCUCUCGUGUUUUUAGUAACUACUGCCUCAGAAGGGAAAACAGUCAUGCCCUUUCCCCCUUCCCGAGAUGUGUCACUUAGGGAGCCAGGAAAGUGCAUCCCGCAAACUGCUAUCACUUGUUGCUCCCUUAGACGCAUGACCCGACAGAGGGCAAAACAACCCCAAUGUGACUCCUAAGGAACAAAAGAAACACAGGAGCAGAGACUGUGACCCACGUGUGAGCUUUAUGCAAGUGUGAUUUCUGCUGUUUUGGUUGGAAAACAGCUGCAGGUGUCCUCUAAUUAUAACCCCAUUUUCACAAAUAUCAACUGUCAUAUUUAAUCUGUUAUACCCAACAUAUAGCCCACUGUUAGAGCACAGUCCUUUCAUUAUAAAUUUAGUAGCAGAAUUUCAAAUGCUCGAGCUAACAUUCAGGCUAGUCAAUUAAUGCAUUAUUUACAAGUUAAAUGUUAUUAAAAACAGGUUCUUAAUUUGCUAAUGAUUUAGUAGACCCAAGGCAAUAUUCCAAUUUUUUUUUCUUCCGUUGAAAGUGGGAAAAGGUUUAGAACAGUUGGGGUAGGAGGGAAUGUGAGGGAUAUUUUGGCUCCCUCACCAUCUGAAUUUCGUUUCGGCUUUCUUCUUUAUUGUGUGUUGGUUUGGAGGCCUUUAUUAGCGUCAUCCUAUUGGAGAAGAAAGACUCACACAAAACACGAGCAACACAGAUGCCAUUGUGAAGGGUAGGUUCUGAAAACGUCACCAGGCAGUUUGUAAGGACUCUGUACAGUCCCGUGUAUUGUGAUAAACCACCUCGGGAACUGCACAGCAGGGUCCAGAAGGUCAGAAGUCAAGGAAUUUAAACGUCAUUAGCAGCCCACCAUUGUCCAGCUAUACAAACAGAAUAUAUGUCUUUUUAAAAUAUGCUGUGAAAAGUGUCCUUUCUGAGAUUCUGGGGUCUCAGAAUAAUUACCACACUCUGGGUUGUAUUUUGUUGUUGUUGUUGUUUUAGUUUUUUCUUUGUCAUUGUCCCCGAUUGUUCUCGAUGCACGAUGUCCUUGGUGUACGUUGCUCUACAACGAACUCCUGACUCAGAGAAGAGGACCUGGGGAAUUCUGUGGCGGACGGGCUCUCAUGUACCAUGAAUUCAGUUGCCCCUUGUGUAACAGUCUCUGCAGAGAUUCUCUUGACUGGGACUCUGACUUUUAACCUCCUUGUUUUCCUUAGCUGCCACCUUUUAAUUUCUCAAAACCUCAAAGUCCACACUCUUAAAGAAACUGUGUCAGAACUAAGUCUGCCCCACAGCUCUCAUUCUGUUCUCAAAUGGAGUGACUUAUUGUAUAGAUUUAAGGUCUUCAUAUGCCAUGCUGGUUUGAUGCACAUACUCGUACUGACAUGGUCUCUCUAGUUAAGCAAAUAAGCAUGUCUGUAUCAAACAUUGUUUUCCUUCUUUCUCCUUCCCCCAUUCCCUCCCUUCUCUUCCUCUUUUUUUCACUGAGAUGACGAUAAUCUUUAAAAUCUAUAUUCUUGUUCUAAUUCUUCUCUGAGUUUGGCGUUGUUCUGUUUUUGAGACUGGGUCUUAUUUGUAGUUGGUCUUAAAUUCAUGGUUUUCCUGUCUCAGUCUUUGAAAUCCUGAGAUUUACAGGUAUAGGCUACCGUGCUUGGCCUUCUCUGAGGUUUUUUUUUCUUUUCUUCGGAGCUGAGGACUGAACCCAGGGCCUUGCGCUUGCUAGGCAAGUGCUCUACCACUGAGCUAAAUCCCAAACCCCCUUCUCUGAGGUUUUAUAGGUCUUUUUAUUUGUUUCAUACAAUGUAUAUACCUAUGUGCUUUUCAUAUAUAUAUGUGUGUGUGUGUGUGUGUGUGUGUGUGCGUGUGUGUGCGUGUGUGUGUGUGUGUGUGUGUGUAUGUAUGUAUAUAUAUACACAGUAGUAUAUUGAGUAAACAACAGCAGCACUAAUCUGCUGCACAUUAGUAGUAUGACCUGAAUCACACUCUCUCCCUUCAUUUCAGGAAACUCACCCUUCUCUCUGCUCACUGGCCCUCUCAUUCAAGGUGUACUGUAUAACCCAGGAUGAAUGCAGAUCUUCUUGCCUCUGCUUCCCAAGAACAUGGACCUACAGACCUGUGCCACCACGUCUGUCUGUCCCAUUUCUUAAAUGGAGAAGACUCUCCUCAUUUAGUUAAUUAGAAUCAGUGAGAUUAUGUACUCUCGUGAAAAAUUGAGUUAAAUGGUAGGACCCAAAAUAUACCUGUUGUUGUUGCCUUAAUGAAGUAAAAUCUUUUCAUCUAUUUGUCUUUCUGUCUAUCUGUCUUCAUCACCAUCAUUUAUCUAUCCCCUGUCUUCUAUUCAUUUAAUCCAUCUUCUAUUACUAUAUGCUUAUCUAUCUAUCUAUCUAUCUAUCUAUCUAUCUAUCUAUCUAUCUGCAUAGUCCCAGACUUGUGUUUGGCCCUGAAAAAUCUUAAUUCUCUUUGGCACCAAUAAAUAUGUCAUAAGCAUUUCUCAUUUCAAAUUUCACUCAGAACACAAUUUUCUCAAGGACAAGGGUUAAGCUCCUUUCCCCUGGCUCUCUUGUUUGUGUAGAAUGUGGAUGAGUGCUGCGUCCGCCAUGUUCUAGGAGCUAUUGUAUGUCUUGGCAAAUACCCUCUUCCCCUAUCAACCACCCAUAUAAUAAAACUCUGGAAUUUUCAUUUUACCUCUUUCCAGCCUGAGAUAUUACCUUUCAAAGUAAAUUAUUGGCACACAAGCCUUGAUUCAGGAGGAACUAAAACAAAGAUAAACAGGUUUUGAACAAUAGACAAAGAUAAGAUAUUAAACACUGUGUAGAAGUUUCUAUAAUGGAGUGUAUUCAUUCCCUUGGUAAACACACUGAAUAACAUUUGGUACCUGGUUUGUAACAUAUACUCUCCAGUGAUGGGAGAUGAUGAUCCAAAUGGACCAGGUCCUACUCCCCUACAGAAAGAGCCUUUACUGUAGGGAAGAUAUAUGAAAAGGAGCAAGUCAGCAUGCAAAACCAUAGCAAGGAGCUUCAAGUGUUUAAAGACAAAAAUGGCAAGGGGAGAGUUGGGCACAGAAGGAGGUGGCACUGCCCUGUAAGGUGAGGCUUAAAACAGCAAAAGUAGAACAAUAUGCUUGAUCUACUGCCUUCUUCUGGAGUUGUAGCUAAACCAACAGACAAAACCAACAAACUGAAAACACCAAAACCAAAACAAAGACCUGUCCUAGCCUCGGGUAGCCUGGGGAUAGAGCUAUAAACAUGGCUGGAUCAUAAUCCCAGUUAGAGAAAUGGGCUGCAGGGGUUUCUGAGGGUGUGGUCUUCUCUGCAGAGUUACUGGGCUCUUCAGAACUAGCCCCUAAGACUGGUCUUUGCUCUCAGCUCCUGUGCAAGUCCGCUCCAUUCAUAUACCCUUCAUUCUCCAGCUUCUCUCCUCACUUGCCCAUGGUGUCUUCUUUCUCUUUCCAACUUCUCAUAGAAAAUGAGAAUUUGUAUAAAAUUAAGAACAUACUUUAUCUCAUUUGAUUUUCAUCCAAUCUUGACAACUAAGCAAUCACAGUCUUUUUUGUCCAUAGCUAUUCGACUGUCUUAGUAAAUUUGGGGCUCAACAUCAGCCCUUGCCAUCCUCACUGAGGUUACCUGACUCUUAGAGACUGAGACUUUAUGGAUAUUGCCACCACCACACCCUUCUGAUCAGUGCCGGUUCAGAUUACCCUUGGUCUGGAAGUUUAGCUCUGUAUGGUCUGAAGGCAAACAACUGCAUCAAGAAAACCUUCAUGAACAGGCCCUGCCUGUUGUAUCUUAACUUAGCCCAUUUGUUCUAUUAUUGACUGUAUGGAUUGAUUUCUCAUUGCUAUCUUAAAGGUAACCAUGAUUUGAAUAUGAACUGUUGCCACAGUCUCAUGUGUUUGAACACUUGGUCUCCAGCUGAUGCCUGGCCUAGAUGGUAUGGAACAUUUAGGCCACAGUUACUAUCUGGCUAGCAUAAGCCAUUAGGAGGCAGACAUUAUCGAGUUACAGUCCAACCUGUCAUUGGGUUCUGUUCUCUGCUUCCUGAUCCACAAACUGCAAAAAGAGCUGUUACUUGAAGUAUAGUGGAUGGCAGUGUUCUACCUGGGGUUGUAUAGCACUUUCCUUUGAAUUGAAACAUUCCUGCCUAUCAGAAUCAUCAUUAAAAUUCAUGGAGUUCUAAAGGGAAGGUUGCUAAGACUUAGGAAAGAGACAACUCAGAAGUCUCAGGAAAUUCCCAAAACUUACUACAUGCAUAAAAUCCCUCCCUUUCCUAGAUAAUAUGAGCAAUAAGAGCUACUGAAAAGACUCUGAGCUAGAUACUGCUUGUAAGUCUUACAAUGAACAUCAGGGUUCCAGCUUUGUUUAGUUGUCAAUCUUGUUGGGGUGAGCUUUUUGGUGUUUGGACUGUCUUUGAGUCAUUUCUGACCUAAAUAUAACAUGUAUGUAACUCUUCACCUAUAAACUCAUUGCUUUACAAGUUUGACUUUGGUAUAAUUGUUAUUUUGGUCUGUCAUUUAGUUCCCUAUUUGGGGUGAAUAGAGACCUAUAUCAUGCCUCCCAGGAAAAGUAUUACAUAAUAGAUGGACAAUUAUAUCUUGAAAUGAGACAAAAUAGACACAUUUCCUACAGGGAUUUGGUCAAAAAAAUACAUAAUUUUAAGAUUAAUAUUAAAGUAGCUAAUACUGAAUAUUCCUUCUUUUUUGAGAAAACUCCAAGUGAAAUUUGAUCUAAUCUUCCUGAUCCAUCCCCUGCCUACUGGGUCUUUUUAUUCCUUUGACCAUCCUCUGUGGUUCUAAGUCUACGUGACUCCUUCAUUCAGUGAUGGGGAAAAGGGGAUACUCACAGACUCUCUCCUCUGUGGGAUGAACAUACGCUGAAGAAUUUAUGGUGUAGGCCUGGAGCUUCUUUUGGGUUUGGAGUUGGAAAUUGUGCAGUUUUGAAAAGUUUAGCCCUAAUAUUCUAGAGAGCAUAUAAGACAAUCUAGUGGACUUUGAAUGGAUGGCUCUUAACUUUGGGAAAUAACAUAGGAUGAAUGUUCACAUAUGGCUGUUUCUCCUGACACAGUCUGACAAUGCUGAGGCUAUUAUCUAUCUAUCUAUCUAUCUGUCUAUCUAUCUAUCUAUCUAUCUAUCUAUCUAUCUAUCUAUCUAUCUAUCUAUCUAUUUUUGUAUUGUAUAGAUCACUCCAACUAAGAUUCUUUAGUCCUUGCUUAAAGUAGAUAAGGUCAGUAUUUUCUAAUUCCAUUUAAUGAUUUCACUGUUUACUUUACCUUCGGAACACUGCUUCUACUUUGCAAUUAUUGAAUAAAUUGGUUGUAAUGAUUUGUUAAAUAUUCAAAAUCAUAAAAGGGAAGUCUUAGAACGAAGCAGAUUUGGUUCCUUGUUGCUGAUGGUGCGGUGUGUCAUGUGGCCCCGAGCAGAUAUCUUACAUGGCUGUUAAGUCUAUGCAACAGCAGCAUUGUCGUUGUUUGGUUGUUGGGGAUUUUAAAGGUGUUACUAUGGGCAGGGGUCUGUGCGAUGCUUGAGUAAGUCAGUGUUCCGUGUCUGUUAGAUCAUGUUUCGUUCUGUUGCAUUACGUGUGAGAGAGUAUAUGCAUAUUGCUAGGCACGGCCUUUCUUUUCUUGUCAGUUCUGCUGCCAUUGGAAAUAAUGAUCCCUUUUGCUUUUAACUCUCCCAAUUGUUGAAAAGUUCAGAAACAGAGAAUAGAUUCAGUGGUUGCCCAGGCCUGGGGGAGUGGGGGUGAGGAUGAAGGUACAGAGUGACUAUGGUCUGGGAAAAGAAAUGCAGGAGCUGUCAGUGUCAUGACUGGGGUGGAUACAUGAACUGACGUAAUUGAAAAAUUGCACCAGACCGAACAUAUACACAGUUGAGAGCAAGCUACACCUAGAAACCCUGAAAAAGAUUUGUGGGUUCACUCAUGUCUUUACUUGGUUAUGAUACUGCAGAAUUGUUUGGGGGUGAGGUUAGCAUUUGAGAAACUGGGGAGAAACCCAAGAUCUCUCUAUUAUAGUUUCAUGUGAGUUUACAAGGAACUAAGAAUAAAUGACUUAAUCAGAAAAAAGAUAUCAUGGUUUCAGUGGUACAUGAUUUUAACAACAAGACUUGUUGUUCCUCUUCAGCCAAGUCCCCUUCUGCAAUGAACUGCCCCUGCCUUCUGGGAGAGUUCUCUUUCUUGGUUCUUUCUUUUAAAAUUUUUUUUCAUAAUUCUUACUUCCCCUUGGCAUAUUUUGUUUACUUGUUUAUUUGCUCAGUAGCUAUUGAUUGACACAGUCAGACACAAGGUUUGAGCUCUCAGAGCAAAGAGAAGAAGGAAGUGAAAGUUGGAACAAUUUGCCAACUCACAGCCUGUAAGAAUAAAAGCUUUGUGAAGGGACUUAAGGUUUCAAAAUAUCUUGUAUUCCUAAUGCCUCGGACAAACCAGGCUCUUUAAUAUAUUUUUUAGGUGAAUGACUCAGCAGGUUGCUGAGGAUGGUAACUAAGGUUCAUGUCUAGUUGUCUUUCUUGUCCUUAGCAUAGUGCCUUGUACAUUCAAAGUGUUUAACAAGUGUUGGUUGGUUCAGAACUAUUCAAUCUUUGACCUGUUCUGGGCCACCUUGCCUUUACAAAGUAAAAAAUUCAAGAAUCACAUAAUUUAGUUAAAAAAAAAAUCUCCCCUCUCCCUCCCAAAAACUCCUGCAUAAUGGUUUAAGUAAGUUCACGAUUUUGUAGGGUCACAGUCAUAGCUUUCUUGGGCUGGCCAAAGGCUGGCUGGCUACGUCUACUUGGUAAGAUUGGCGUCUGUGCAUCCCUGCAGUCGUUUAAAACACACAAUGAUUGUGACUGAGGGCCUAGGCUGGCUUGGUUGGUUUGAAGUUGUGUCCAGAACAUUUCAGCAUUGGAGCAAGUCCCUAAACAUUAAUGAGAGCUGGUCAAUGAUCUUAUUGAUCACGUAAGCUCAGAAUUGGAGACUGAGGCCCACAGAUACUCAGUGACUUAAGAAUUGUUUGAAGGCCAGGGGACCGCAGAGCUGGAGUUUCACCUUGCCUUUCUAAUUCUCAAACUGUGGUGUUUUUUGACUCUCAAAGUGCUUGCGAUUGUCCUGGGGUGUCUCACUUGGGCCAUAAGCCUCUCUGUUACCUGCUGGCCACUUCUUCAUUUGCCCACAGAGGUCCAUGUGGUGGUGCAAAAAUCUCCUGAGAGACAGGUGGGCAGGUUAGGUUGGAUUGGACACACCCGCUCCCCAGAGGACAGCACGUCCUCCAGGCUCCACAGCACCAGGAGACAUUGUCAUGUUAACAGAGCAGAAGGGAAUGCUUCCUUUUGGCCACCAUUGACUUUGUCAGACAACGGUGCCAUUCAGCUUGAAAAACUCCACUGGGAAGUUGCAGGCUUUAAAAACUAAUUUGGUGUUUAUUCAACUUUGCAAUCACUUCUGUGUACUAUCUGUGUUUCACACACCGUGAAACGGCGCUGCACUGUGCAAUUGAAUUAGUUGUACAGUGACUCAAAGGCACUAAACAAUGACUUUGAUAUUUUAAGUACUGACUAGGAGGGAUUUUUUAAUUCCUGCCUCAUAAUGAAAGCAACAACAAGUACAAAAAAAAAAAAAAGCCGUCGGUUACACAACCCUGGAAUACUUACACUUUUCUAUUCUGGGUGGACCCCACUGAGACAGAAAAGAAAAAAAAAAAACCCAACACAAAACAACAAAACCCUCGGAGCAUUUAGUUUGCUUAAUGGCAGAAGAAAAAUUAAACAAGCGUAGACGUGCAACCUUAACGACACCCAGUAACACUAGAAUAACAGUUCCCAGCUUCUAAAACCUGUUAUUUAAUAUAAUGGGUAAAUCUUGUGGGAGCUUUUCAGGUGUUGCUGAGUCUGAAAAAGCAGGCAUGUGGUGGGGAGGGGUGGGGGCACAGGCAGAGCAAGUGCCUCCCUGCUACUCGUUUGUCGAGGAGGGUCUCAACACGGGACCCGGAAUACUGGCAGCGUCCCCCAGGCUGUGGCUGGAACAAGGCUAGGCCUGUGUGCUGUCGGCUCUACCAGGAUAAGAGCAAACCUUCCACGCAUAGCCUUACUGACAA